AGUGAACGCUGGCGGUAUGCCUAACACAUGCAAGUCGAACGGCAGCACAGUAAGAGCUUGCUCUUACGGGUUGCGAGUGGCGGACGGGUGAGGAAUACAUCGGAAUCUACUUUUUCGUGGGGGAUAACGUAGGGAAACUUACGCUAAUACCGCAUACGACCUACGGGUGAAAGCAGGGGAUCUUCGGACCUGGCGCGAUUGAAUGAGCCGGUGUGCGAAUAGCUAGUUGGGGGGGUAAAGGCCCACCAAGGCGACGAACCGUAGCCGGGCUGAGAGGGUGAACCGCCACAAUUGGACUGAGACAACGCCCAAGACCCCUACGGGAGGAACCAGUGGGGAAUAUCGGCCAUGGGGGGCAAGCCUGCUCCACAACUCCGGGGGAGGUGUAGCAGGCUUCGGGGUUGUAAAGUCUUUUUGUCGGGACAGAAGACCAGCAGGCUAAUACCGAGCUGUUCUGACGGUACCCAAAGAAUAAGCACCGGCUAACUUCGUG
RNAcentral lists this ribosomal RNA (493 nucleotides) under uncultured bacterium. RNAcentral describes it as "partial 16S ribosomal RNA". It matches the Rfam family "Bacterial small subunit ribosomal RNA", at positions 29 to 507 of the family's 1533-position model. The record is from RNAcentral.